This 499-nucleotide long non-coding RNA is filed under the name Setaria viridis. Its description in RNAcentral is "long non-coding RNA (SVIR_LNC004901)". The record is from RNAcentral. Lineage: Eukaryota; Viridiplantae; Streptophyta; Magnoliopsida; Poales; Poaceae.
UGGUAAGCGACUGUACUGAUGAAGCCUUUCAACAAUAUAUGCGGGAGAUGGCCCCAAUUGCUAAAGAAGUGGCCAAGCAAUUGAACCUUGAGUAGAUCUGUAUCAAGCAAACAUUAGUGUUGUAAAGAAAAUGAUUAUGGAUGCUUGAUGUAUAAUAUAUAAUGUAGUCUUUGUGCAAUUGUUUUUUGCUUUUGCGACUUGUUAUUUUUAGUGCCUUUCAAAAUUAAUCCUGAUGCUUGCUCGUACGAUUAAUGUGAGUGUCUAUGCAUAAGGCUUCUUUUGUGAGCGUCAUCAGAUGCACAUUGUAGAGUUCUUUAAGAUCACAUUCUCCUUUCGUGGGUUGUGAGUACUCAGGCUAUCUGGUAAGUAGACCUCUAGGAGAGUAGUCUCUUUAGGGUUGUGUCGACUAGAGCUUAUCUUUGCAACCUCUCUGAGUUGUAUUGAUGUUGUGCUCUGGAAAACAUGGAACCGUGAACAUGUUAUUACAAGCCGCGACUAG